This 116-nucleotide ribosomal RNA is filed under the name Pteropus alecto (black flying fox). The record is from RNAcentral. Lineage: Eukaryota; Metazoa; Chordata; Mammalia; Chiroptera; Pteropodidae.
GUUUAUGGCCAUGCCACCCUGAACAAGCCCAAUCCUGUCUGAUCGCGGAAGCUAAGCAGGGUCAGGCCUGGUUAGUACUUGGACAGACCACUUAGGAAGACUAGAUAUUGUAGGCA